AGUCACUGACAUUAGAUACCCGGGUAGUCCCAGCCGUAAACAAUGUGCGUUAGGUGUGUCGGUAACCACGCGUUACUGAUGCGCCGAAGAGAAAUCGUGAAACGCACCACCUGGGAAGUACGGUCGCAAGGCUGAAACUUAAAGGAAUUGGCGGGAGCACCACAACAGGUGGAGCCUGCGGUUUAAUUGGAUUCAACGCCGGACAUCUCACCGGAUAAGACAGCUGAAUGAUUGUCAAUCUGAAGGUUUUACAUGACUAGCUG
RNAcentral lists this ribosomal RNA (263 nucleotides) under uncultured archaeon. RNAcentral's name for it is "partial 16S ribosomal RNA". It matches the Rfam family "Archaeal small subunit ribosomal RNA", at positions 719 to 982 of the family's 1478-position model. The record is from RNAcentral.